RNAcentral lists this ribosomal RNA (337 nucleotides) under Ottowia thiooxydans. RNAcentral's name for it is "bacterial SSU rRNA". It matches the Rfam family "Bacterial small subunit ribosomal RNA", at positions 18 to 359 of the family's 1533-position model. Lineage: Bacteria; Pseudomonadati; Pseudomonadota; Betaproteobacteria; Burkholderiales; Comamonadaceae. The record is from RNAcentral.
UUUGGCUCAGGACGAACGCUGGCGGCAUGCUUUACACAUGCAGUCGAGCGGCAGCGCGGGGCAACCUGGCGGCGAGCGGCGAACGGGUGAGUAAUACAUCGGAACGUGCCCAGACGUGGGGGAUAGCCCGGCGAAAGCCGGAUUAAUACCGCAUACGAUCUAAGGAUGAAAGCGGGGGAUCGCAAGACCUCGCGCGUUUGGAGCGGCCGAUGGCAGAUUAGGUAGUUGGUGGGGUAAAAGCUUACCAAGCCUACGAUCUGUAGCUGGUCUGAGAGGACGACCAGCCACACCUGGGACUGAGACACGGCCCAGACUCCUACGGGAGGCAGCAGUAGGA